UUAACAAGAGAUAUUAAACAAUAAAAUGAGCAUCCUUAAUUAUAUUUUAGACAUAUACGUAAUUUGGAUUCAAAGAAAUUCCUUUGGCUAUUCCUGAUUCCUGAACAAACCCUAUAUAUCAAAAUAAAAUAACAAUUAAGUAAAUUUUUAUAUACCAUGACAUGAUAGUCAUCCAUGUGUACAAAACAAAUAUAUAUAUUAUAAUUUAUAUUAUUGUAUAAAAUAGUGGCAUAAUAUAUAUAGUCAAGCCAAUCCAAACCAACCUACUCUCAAUCUCCUUUGUUGAUUGUUAAACCCUCUCUCUCAUUUUUCAGUUGCCUACUAUUGAACAAACUCCUCUAUUCAACCUCCACGUAAUCCUCUCUCUUUGAUAUCAUAUAGCUAUAUAUAUAUAUAUAUAUAUAGACAAUAAAAUUGUUUAUUGAUACAUAUAUAUUAAUAAAUAUGUCGAUGGCUGAAAUGUUAUUAUGUUGUGUAUUUGAAGCUGGAAGCAUAUCAUUACAUGAUAUGGAGAUUGAUCGAAGGCCUUACCAUAGAUAUUGUGGUUGUGCUCUUCACAAGUUCAAAGUAUCAGAUCAAACCACAUCAUCAUCAUCAUCCUUGAAGACUGAUUUUCAAGAUCUAUAAAUAUAAAUAUUUAUGUAAGAGGUUAGUAAGGAAUGGGGUACGUAGUAUUUUUUUUUUCUUCACUAAUUUCUCUGUUUUCUGAAAAAAAAAAGAAAGAGAAGAAGAAGAAGAAGAUAUACGUAUUUAUAUUAUAUAGAUGAAUUCAAAAGUUGUAUAUGUUUGUUUCUUUUGUUUUGUGAUACAAUUGUAAUACAUUAAUAUACAAAUAUAUACUAAUCAAAGGAUUACAUAUAUUUUAA
Cannabis sativa is the source of this 866-nucleotide long non-coding RNA. RefSeq lists it as uncharacterized. The record is from RefSeq and is a predicted model, not a curated record. Lineage: Eukaryota; Viridiplantae; Streptophyta; Magnoliopsida; Rosales; Cannabaceae. The transcript is spliced from 2 exons.